This 22-nucleotide microRNA is filed under the name Petromyzon marinus (sea lamprey). RNAcentral describes it as "pma-miR-4544-3p". Lineage: Eukaryota; Metazoa; Chordata; Hyperoartia; Petromyzontiformes; Petromyzontidae. The record is from miRBase by way of RNAcentral.
UCCGGGGUCGGUGUAGGCUAAA